AUUGAACGCUGGCGGCAUGCUUUACACAUGCAAGUCGAACGGCAGCGCGGGCUUCGGCCUGGCGGCGAGUGGCGAACGGGUGAGUAAUACAUCGGAACGUGCCCAGUAGUGGGGGAUAGCUCGGCGAAAGCCUGAUUAAUACCGCAUACGACCUGAGGGUGAAAGCGGGGGAUCUUCGGACCUCGCGCUAUUGGAGCGGCCGAUGGCAGAUUAGCUAGUUGGUGGGGUAAAGGCCUACCAAGGCGACGAUCUGUAGCUGGUCUGAGAGGACGACCAGCCACACUGGGACUGAGACACGGCCCAGACUCCUACGGGAGGCAGCAGUGGGGAAUUUUGGACAAUGGGCGAAAGCCUGAUCCAGCAAUGCCGCGUGUGUGAUGAAGGCCUUCGGGUUGUAAAGCACUUUUGGCGGGAACGAAAAGGACUGUGCCAAUACCACGGUUCGAUGACGGUACCCGCAGAAUAAGCACCGGCUAACUACGUG
Molecule: ribosomal RNA, 484 nt
Filed under: uncultured bacterium
Lineage: Bacteria
Description: partial 16S ribosomal RNA
Rfam family: Bacterial small subunit ribosomal RNA
Source: RNAcentral